UGCAGCUUAGGCAUGGUAUUAUCGUGAAUAUUUUAAAACUUCAGAAGGACUAUGAAGAAGUUGAAAAUUUAGUGGGUGGAAAGGUGUGAACCGCUGGUGCAAACCCUUGGAUUGGGUUAAAAUUGAAAAGAAGCGUCAAGAUAAGGAAAGAAUGCUGGAUGAGCACAAGAAGUUGGUUGAAGGAAUAUUAAAGUGCGACAAGAAGAGGCGAAAGAGGAUUGAAGCAGCAGGAAUUGACUAUGAGUGCCCAGAAAUUGUGGGUUCAAUUCAGGCUGCAUCGAAGAAGAUCAGAUUUGAUGCAGAAUAGAUCUAUCCAGCAGAACCAAUGCAGCAAGUAGAUCAGUAUAUGCGAGGCAGUUUGCAUCACGAUUCACGGUCAUGUAAGCUGUAAGGUCACGUGCCGUUGAACCAUGCUGGCUGAUGGAAAGCCAUCAAUCCAAGUGUCUAUUGGUUAUAGCUUCUUUGUAACCACAGCUCAAACUAUGAAGAAUUCUGGAAAUCCUAAGGGUGAUAAGAUGAAUUUUUCUAGCUAUCUAGUACCUUAAUGCAAAGUGUUUAGGCUAUGAUGUGCCAGAUUUGCAAGUUCUUUUGGUUAUUUUGUUCUUUUCCCUGCUGAAUGUACAGUUAAUGAUUUCCAUAAUUAUCUAAAGACUAUGAAUCUACAGGUUUAAUUAGUUCCCGUUGAACAUCUUGGGGAAAAAAUAGUUUUUGGGACCUCAAUUUUUU
Nicotiana tabacum (common tobacco) is the source of this 726-nucleotide long non-coding RNA. RefSeq lists it as uncharacterized. The record is from RefSeq and is a predicted model, not a curated record. Lineage: Eukaryota; Viridiplantae; Streptophyta; Magnoliopsida; Solanales; Solanaceae.